This 209-nucleotide unclassified non-coding RNA is filed under the name Hevea brasiliensis (rubber tree). The record is from RNAcentral. Lineage: Eukaryota; Viridiplantae; Streptophyta; Magnoliopsida; Malpighiales; Euphorbiaceae.
CAAUAAUUUUCUGCAGUAAGUGUGAUGGUGGAGAGGAUGUAUAAUGAGUAUCUUGUCUGAAAGUACUUGAUGAAAGUAGGUGGAGGAAAAUAGUAUCAAAUGAUUUAUAAUUUUUUGAUAUUGACGUGAAAUUGAUUUCAAAUAUAGAUGAAUGGCUAAAAAGGAUUCAUAUAGCCAACUAAAACUAGUUUAAGAUUAAGGCUCAGUUG